CAGGAAAUAGUUUAUUAAAAUAUUAAUUUUGGAUAUUAGAGAUAAAGAGGUUUCUUUUUUCCUGA
This 65-nucleotide transfer RNA is filed under the name Curculio sp. SZ-2019. RNAcentral's name for it is "tRNA-Pro". Lineage: Eukaryota; Metazoa; Arthropoda; Insecta; Coleoptera; Curculionidae. The record is from RNAcentral.